GAUGAAGAACGCAGUGAAAUGCGAUAAGUAAUGUGAAUUGCAGAAUUCAGUGAAUCAUCGAAUCUUUGAACGCACAUUGCGCCCCUUGGUAUUCCAUGGGGCAUGCCUGUUCGAGCGUCAUCUACACCCUCAAGCUCUGCUUGGUGUUGGGCGUCUGUCCCGCCCCCGCGCGUGGACUCGCCCCAAAUCCAUUGGCAGCGUUCCUUGCCCCCUCUCGCGCAGCACAUUGCGCUUCUCGAGGGCGGCUCCGGGACGCGAUCCAGCAAGAUGACCACCGUCUUUGACCUCGGAUCAGGUAGGGAUACCCGCUGAACUUAAGCAUAUCAAUAAGCGGAGGA
This 338-nucleotide unclassified non-coding RNA is filed under the name soil metagenome. RNAcentral describes it as "partial contains 5.8S ribosomal RNA, internal transcribed spacer 2, and large subunit ribosomal RNA". The stretch from base 1 to 120 matches the Rfam family "5.8S ribosomal RNA", at positions 35 to 154 of the family's 154-position model. The record is from RNAcentral.